Molecule: ribosomal RNA, 259 nt
Filed under: uncultured bacterium
Lineage: Bacteria
Description: partial 16S ribosomal RNA
Rfam family: Bacterial small subunit ribosomal RNA
Source: RNAcentral
UACGUAGGGUGCGAGCGUUAAUCGGAAUUACUGGGCGUAAAGCGUGCGCAGGCGGUUUUGUAAGCCAGGUGUGAAAUCCCCGGGCUCAACCUGGGAAUGGCAUUUGGGACUGCAAGGCUGGAGUGCGGCAGAGGAGACUGGAAUUCCUGGUGUAGCAGUGAAAUGCGUAGAUAUCAGGAGGAACACCGAUGGCGAAGGCAGGUCUCUGGGCUGACACUGACGCUCAUGCACGAAAGCGUGGGGAGCGAAACAAGGAUUG